GAUGAACGCUGGCGGCGUGCCUAAUACAUGCAAGUCGAGCGAACGGACGAGGAGCUUGCUCCUCUGACGUUAGCGGCGGACGGGUGAGUAACACGUGGAUAACCUACCUAUAAGACUGGGAUAACUUCGGGAAACCGGAGCUAAUACCGGAUAAUAUUUUGAACCGCAUGGUUCAAUAGUGAAAGACGGUUUUGCUGUCACUUAUAGAUGGAUCCGCGCUGCAUUAGCUAGUUGGUAAGGUAACGGCUUACCAAGGCAACGAUGCAUAACCGACCUGAGAGGGUGAUCGGCCACACUGGAACUGAGACACGGUCCAGACUCCUACGGGAGGCAGCAGUAGGGAAUCUUCCGCAAUGGGCGAAAGCCUGACGGAGCAACGCCGCGUGAGUGAUGAAGGUCUUCGGAUCGUAAAACUCUGUUAUUAGGGAAGAACAUAUGUGUAAGUAACUGUGCACAUCUUGACGGUACCUAAUCAGAAAGCCACGGCUAACUACGUG
This 497-nucleotide ribosomal RNA is filed under the name uncultured bacterium. RNAcentral describes it as "partial 16S ribosomal RNA". It matches the Rfam family "Bacterial small subunit ribosomal RNA", at positions 28 to 507 of the family's 1533-position model. The record is from RNAcentral.